UACAUGCAAGUAGAACGCUGAAGGAGGAGCUUGCUUCUCUGGAUGAGUUGCGAACGGGUGAGUAACGCGUAGGUAACCUGCCUGGUAGCGGGGGAUAACUAUUGGAAACGAUAGCUAAUACCGCAUAAUAGUAGAUGUUGCAUGACAUUUGCUUAAAAGGUGCAAUUGCAUCACUACCAGAUGGACCUGCGUUGUAUUAGCUAGUUGGUGGGGUAACGGCUCACCAAGGCGACGAUACAUAGCCGACCUGAGAGGGUGAUCGGCCACACUGGGAUUGAGACACGGCCCAGACUCCGACGGGAGGCAGCAGUAGGGAAUCCUCGGCAAUGGACGGAAGUCUGACCGAGCAACGCCGCGUGAGUGAAGAAGGUUUUCGGAUCGUAAAGCUCUGUUGUAAGAGAAGAACGAGUGUGAGAGUGGAAAGUUCACACUGUGACGGUAUCUUACCAGAAAGGGACGGCUAACUACGUGCCAGCAGCCGCGGUAAUACGUAGGUCCCGAGCGUUGUCCGGAUUUAUUGGGCGUAAAGCGAGCGCAGGCGGUUAGAUAAGUCUGAAGUUAAAGGCUGUGGCUUAACCAUAGUACGCUUUGGAAACUGUUUAACUUGAGUGCAAGAGGGGAGAGUGGAAUUCCAUGUGUAGCGGUGAAAUGCGUAGAUAUAUGGAGGAACACCGGUGGCGAAAGCGGCUCUCUGGCUUGUAACUGACGCUGAGGCUCGAAAGCGUGGGGAGCAAACAGGAUUAGAUACCCUGGUAGUCCACGCCGUAAACGAUGAGUGCUAGGUGUUAGACCCUUUCCGGGGUUUAGUGCCGCAGCUAACGCAUUAAGCACUCCGCCUGGGGAGUACGACCGCAAGGUUGAAACUCAAAGGAAUUGACGGGGGCCCGCAC
Molecule: ribosomal RNA, 890 nt
Filed under: uncultured bacterium
Lineage: Bacteria
Description: bacterial SSU rRNA
Rfam family: Bacterial small subunit ribosomal RNA
Source: RNAcentral